RNAcentral lists this unclassified non-coding RNA (257 nucleotides) under Fusicolla acetilerea. RNAcentral describes it as "partial contains 5.8S ribosomal RNA, internal transcribed spacer 2, and large subunit ribosomal RNA". Lineage: Eukaryota; Fungi; Ascomycota; Sordariomycetes; Hypocreales; Nectriaceae. The record is from RNAcentral.
CGCACAUUGCGCCCGCCAGUAUUCUGGCGGGCAUGCCUGUUCGAGCGUCAUUUCAACCCUCAAGCCCCCGGGCUUGGUGUUGGGGCUCGGCCCGUCCCUAGUGGCGCGCCGUCCCCGAAAUCUAGUGGCGGUCUCGCUGAAGCCUCCUCUGCGUAGUAGCUAACACCUCGCAAUGGGAACUCAGUGCGGCCACGCCGUUAAACCCCCCACUUCUGAAGGUUGACCUCGGAUCAGGUAGGAAUACCCGCUGAACUUAA